RNAcentral lists this ribosomal RNA (881 nucleotides) under Acinetobacter sp. PT5I1.2G. Its description in RNAcentral is "bacterial SSU rRNA". It matches the Rfam family "Bacterial small subunit ribosomal RNA", at positions 26 to 884 of the family's 1533-position model. Lineage: Bacteria; Pseudomonadati; Pseudomonadota; Gammaproteobacteria; Moraxellales; Moraxellaceae. The record is from RNAcentral.
CAUGUAACGCUGGCGGCAGGCUUAACACAUGCAAGUCGUAGCGAGGGAAAGGCUAAGCUUGCUACUUAACCUAGCGGCGGACGGGUGAGUAAUGCUUAGGAAUCUGCCUAUUAGUGGGGGACAACAUCUCGAAAGGGAUGCUAAUACCGCAUACGUCCUACGGGAGAAAGCAGGGGACCUUCGGGCCUUGCGCUAAUAGAUGAGCCUAAGUCGGAUUAGCUAGUUGGUGGGGUAAAGGCCUACCAAGGCGACGAUCUGUAGCGGGUCUGAGAGGAUGAUCCGCCACACUGGGACUGAGACACGGCCCAGACUCCUACGGGAGGCAGCAGUGGGGAAUAUUGGACAAUGGGGGGAACCCUGAUCCAGCCAUGCCGCGUGUGUGAAGAAGGCCUUUUGGUUGUAAAGCACUUUAAGCGAGGAGGAGGCUACCGAGAUUAAUACUCUUGGAUAGUGGACGUUACUCGCAGAAUAAGCACCGGCUAACUCUGUGCCAGCAGCCGCGGUAAUACAGAGGGUGCAAGCGUUAAUCGGAUUUACUGGGCGUAAAGCGCGCGUAGGUGGCCAAUUAAGUCAAAUGUGAAAUCCCCGAGCUUAACUUGGGAAUUGCAUUCGAUACUGGUUGGCUAGAGUAUGGGAAGAGGAUGGUAGAAUUCCAGGUGUAGCGGUGAAAUGCGUAGAGAUCUGGAGGAAUACCGGAUGGCGAAGGCAGGCCAUCUGGCCUAAUACUUGACGCUGGAGGUGCGAAAGCAUUGGGGAGGCAAACAGGAAUAGAUACCCUGGUUAGUCCAUGCCGGAAACGAUGUUCUACCUAGCCGGUUGGGCCCUUUGAGGCUUUAGUGGCCGCAACCUAACGCGAUAAGUUAGACCCGCUGGGGAGUCCG